GCCCGAUUAGCUCAGCUGGUUGGAGCGUCGUACUAAUAGAACCAUGGUUCUAUCAUGUUCAUGCGAAGGUCAACAGUUUAAUACUGUUAUUGGGCA
Molecule: non-coding RNA, 96 nt
Organism: Apodospora peruviana
Lineage: Eukaryota; Fungi; Ascomycota; Sordariomycetes; Sordariales; Lasiosphaeriaceae
Source: the annotation of a GenBank genome assembly